This 768-nucleotide long non-coding RNA is filed under the name Lepidothrix coronata (blue-crowned manakin). RNAcentral describes it as "lncRNA (ENSLCOG00000000481.1)". The record is from RNAcentral. Lineage: Eukaryota; Metazoa; Chordata; Aves; Passeriformes; Pipridae.
GGGGGGGGACCCCCGGAGGUCUGGGGGGUACCCGGGGGUCCGGAGCGGUCCUGGGAGUUUGGCGGGAUCUCAGGCGUUCAGGGGAGAUCUCAGGAGUUUUAAGGGUCUCCCAGGCACUCCGGUAACCCCCCAAAUCCCUCCUUGCCCCUUCUCAGGCCCCCCCCGCGCAACUCCCCCCCAGACGGUAAAGCAACUGCUGAAGGAGCUGCGGCAGCAGCGGAGCGGGGAAGGGGCGAGACCCUCGGGUUUGGCUGUGCCCGCCCCACGCCCUGUGCAUGGUGCCACCUGGCCCAGACCCCAUCUAGUGACCCCCAAGCCUUGUGGGGUCUCCCCUGUGUCCACCCCCAGUGGCCUGAUGGGGGCCCAUGGGGAAGGGGCCCAUGGUCUGGAGGGUUUUCAGGUUGCUGCUACCCCUGGCCCUGCCUGGACCCACCCCCCCGUGCCAGGUGGGGAAUUUGGGGGCCCCCCGAUGGGGAGGGAGACCUCAGACCCUGAUCUUGACCCUCGGGAACUGGCGGUCGCCCGUGCUGUGCUGUGGGGCCAAGACCCCUGGGAGCUCCUGUGGCAGGACGAGGAGGGGGACACGCUGCUGCACGUGCUCUGUGCAGGGGGGCUGCGGGUGCCCGCCCGGGCUGCAGCUGAGGCUCUGCGGGAUCUGGGAGGGCUCGAGAUGCGGGAGCACCUGGGAAAGGUGAGGGGGCAGCACAAGGGGUAAAAAAGGGGGCUAUGAGGGCAGUAAGUGAGUCCUCGUGGGGCAAUAAGGGGGUG